Non-coding RNA from Xylariomycetidae sp. FL2044, 90 nucleotides. The record is from the annotation of a GenBank genome assembly. Lineage: Eukaryota; Fungi; Ascomycota; Sordariomycetes.
GCAUUAGUGGUUUAGUGGUAAAAUUCGUCGUUGCCAUUCACAUUCGAGUUGAAACUCGACGAGCCGGGGGUUCGAUUCCCUCCUAAUGCA